Pipistrellus kuhlii (Kuhl's pipistrelle) is the source of this 459-nucleotide long non-coding RNA. RefSeq lists it as uncharacterized. The record is from RefSeq and is a predicted model, not a curated record. Lineage: Eukaryota; Metazoa; Chordata; Mammalia; Chiroptera; Vespertilionidae. The transcript is spliced from 2 exons.
AACCUGAGGGAUGCAGUGAUGGAGGACACAAUCUGACUAAUAAGGCGGUUAAGGUUAGUGUAGGUUGGGCGCUCAAUAUCGAGGUUUCUACGACAGAUGUCAUAGAUGGCCUCAUUGUCAACCAUGAAGGCACAAUCAGAGUGCUCCAGGGUGGUGUGGGUGGUGAGGAUGGAGUUGUAGGGCUCAACUACAGCUGUGGAGACCUGGGGGGCUGGGUAAAUGGAGAAUUCCAGCUUGGACUUCUUGCCAUAAUCGACAGAGAGCCGUUCCAUCAGCAGGGAGGUGAACCCAGAACCAGUGCCCCCACCAAAGCUGUGGAAAACCAAGAAGCCCUGAAGGCCUGUGCACUGGUCAGCCUGUCAGGAAAGAACAGAGGAAACAUAGUUAUUGCUUUUUGUGAUGUAUUUUCACUUUUCAUACAUUCCAAUGAUCUAAAUCUUAUUUGGACAGGAAACACUU